RNAcentral lists this ribosomal RNA (219 nucleotides) under uncultured bacterium. Its description in RNAcentral is "partial 16S ribosomal RNA". It matches the Rfam family "Bacterial small subunit ribosomal RNA", at positions 116 to 334 of the family's 1533-position model. The record is from RNAcentral.
CGUAAAGAACUUGCCUCACAGAUAGGGACAACAUUUGGAAACGAAUGCUAAUACCUGAUAUUAUGAUUUUAGGGCAUCCUAGAAUUAUGAAAGCUAUAUGCGCUGUGAGAGAGCUUUGCGUCCCAUUAGCUAGUUGGAGAGGUAACAGCUCACCAAGGCGAUGAUGGGUAGCCGGCCUGAGAGGGUGAUCGGCCACAAGGGGGCUGAGACACGGCCCUU